CUAUAGUUAUAAUUGGUCUCUUACAAUUCCUAUCAAUUCAGACACAGUUUCUCUUCCCCUCCAGCUCUAACUCCCCUCUCCCCAAGCCCCAAUUCCCACCCCAGGCAAGCCCCACCCGUGUCUCCCCCUCCUCCUCCUCCUCCUCCUCCUUCCACACUAAACACCCCUUUUUUUUUUUUCCUGUUUUCUCUGCUUUCCCCCUUUUUUUUUUCCCCAGAGUACAUCCAGAAAUAUGCAACAGAAGAAGCACUGAAGGAGCAGGAGGAAGGCACCGGGGACAGCUCCUCCGAGAGCUCCAUGUCCGACUUCUCCGAGGACGAGGCCCAGGACAUGGAAUUGUAGUUGGGAUGAGCAGGAAGGAGGAGGAGGAGGAGGAGGAGGAAGAGGAGGAAUAAUGAGCAGCCCCCCCCCCCCCCUGCUUUUCAGAGACCUCAAUUUCCUAACCAUGAGGAAGCAGAACUGUAUAAUAUUCAUAUUAAACCAGAAGAAAAAAAAAAAAUAAAAAAAGGAGAAAAAAAAACAAAAAAAAAAAAGCAAUUUUUUUUAUUACUAAAAAAAAAACAAACAAACAAGGUUUUUAUGGAUUAUAGCAUUGAUAUAUUAUAUCUAUAUCUCUCUCUCUCUCUCUCUCUCUCUCUCUCACCUCACCCCUUUAGAGCCUGAGAUUUUUCCCUCCCUCCCUUCCUUUCCUUCCUUCCCUCUUUUCCCAGCCAGUGUCCCGAGGGGCGGGUGGCAUUCCCACAUUCCAUGUUGGUAGCAAUACAGGAGUGCAGAUCCCAGGGGGUGUUCCCUGGGCUAUCUAUCCCAGGAGAGGGAAGGGAAUGAGCGGCCAAAAAAACCCAAAAACCUCCCCCCUCCCAAAACAACCACGAAAACCUGGGAUGUGUCUUUGCUUUUUGCGGGAACGGCGUCGCCCUCCUCCGGAUCCCGGGAUUUCUGGGGUGGCAGGAGCAGGCACAGGGAUGGAAGGGGCUCCUCCAGCCAGGAGAAAAGAGAGGGAACGAGUCCAAUCCCACCCCACGGCCUGGAAGUGUCUCCACUUGGAUUCCUCGCCCGUCGUUUUCCGCGGAUCCCUCCCGGAGCUGUCGGGACUGCGCCGACCCCCGGCGGGAUUCCCUCCGAAAAAAAAACCUCGGGAUGUUGCUGUUGUCAUUUCUGCUCCCCUUCGGGGCCGGAUGGACCAGGAGCUGUUCCCUGUGCUGGGAGGGAAGGCCCCGGCGGACUCUUGGAACGCUUUGGAAUUCCCCGGGAGCGCUUGGAAUUGGGAGAACCCUUUCCCUGGGAUCGGGACCUGCUGCCCUGGAAUGGCUUCGAGUUGGCUUUUGGGUUGUUCUCUCUUAGAUUUAUUUUUUUUUUUUUUUUUUGCCCUCCUCCUUUUGUUUUUUUUUCGGAUUUUUUCCCGCUUGGAAUUUGGGUAAAACCCAUCCAGGAGCUGCAGAUCCACAGGGAUUAUCCGGAAUCCACGAAUCCCUCGGAGCUGAUUUGAGUUGAGUUGAAUUUUUUUUGGUUGGUUGGUUGGUUUUUUUCUCUUUUUUUUUGUUUUUUUUUCCCUUUUUUUCCCCUUUUUUCCCCCCCUUUUCCCACCCCCCUUUUUCUUGCACCAGCUUGGUUCCCACAUCUUGCUUGUGUGUGUAAAAAAAAAAAAAACUGCGGGAAAACGAGAAAUUCCUGAGAGAGUGGGUUUAAAAAAAAAAAAAACAAUAAUUAAAAAAAAAAAUGUCGGGGAAGAAGAAGAAGAAAAGACAGAAGAAAAAAAAAGAAGAAGGAAAUUAAAAAAAAAAAAAAAAAAAAAAAAAGGAAAAAAAAAAAAAAAAAACCACAGCAAAAAAAAAUAAAAAAAAUCAUUUUGUGGAAAAAAAAAAAACA
Manacus vitellinus (golden-collared manakin) is the source of this 1866-nucleotide long non-coding RNA. The record is from Ensembl. Lineage: Eukaryota; Metazoa; Chordata; Aves; Passeriformes; Pipridae.